Paramuricea clavata is the source of this 370-nucleotide non-coding RNA. The record is from the annotation of a GenBank genome assembly. NCBI's taxonomy places the organism in Eukaryota, Metazoa, Cnidaria, Anthozoa, Malacalcyonacea, Plexauridae.
CUGGCCGUUCAAAUACCAACCGUGCUGUUAUAUUUUCAAAUAAUGGCAAAAUUUUAUGUCUUUUCAAAUAGUGUUCAGCAACAUCUUCCAUUUUCUUCUCAUCCAUUCCUUCCAUUGCGCUCAUUUUCCUUUCGCUCCUGUUGUUGCUAGGCAACAGAUUAAUUGAGCUUGUCGAUAUUUUAUUCCAGCGGUAAACAAAAACAAUAUGGCUGCUAAAUUUGAAGAAAUGUCAAAUAUCGAAGUGACAUCUUUGUCAUCUGUCUCUGGAGAGGGCGAGGAAAAUGAUAUAUCCAAAGGCUUUGAAGUAAUUCCAGUUCAAUUGCAAAACACCAUCAGAAUAAUGAAAUCUUUUCAGGUAUCUGUAUUAAUG